CCUUCGCUCGCUGCCAGGAACCCUGUGAUUCAGUUGAAGCUGAGCCCUUUUACCCCCGCUCCAGGGGUGGGAAUGUGACUCAGGCCUGUCCAAAGAAGCCUGCAAGAAGGUCGCUGAAUUUUUUUUUCUUAAACUAGUUUUGUGCUGGGAAUGACCUCCGCGUAAUAGAAUGAGAUGACCGUGGGAAGAGGUUAGGUCUCUGUUAUAACUUCAGAGUUUCCCCUAGCAGGAAGCUCAAUAUGCUUCUUGGGAAUGAGGACAUUGUUUUAUACAUUCAGGAACGUCUCCAUAAAUAUUUGUCGAUUGAUUGAUUAUGUCUACAUCGCCCAUCAAACCAUAUCUACCUAAGUUUUGUCAGGUCCUCUAACAAAUUAAUGAGACCAGAGGAGGGAGUCACUGGAACCUCCAGUGUAUAAGCUGAUUGGUCAGAAGCACAGAUGUUGAAUUCUCUGUUCAAACAACAUCUUGCUGAACAUAAAUAAUGGCAGAGCCACCCUUGAAUCAAGUUCAAAUGGGAAGUCCAGUGAUGUCUUCCAAUCACCUCUACCAGUCUACCAUCUCCAUGCCAGACGAUCUAAUCUACUAGACAUGGGGGGCCGCAGGUCUGGGUGUUUGGGAGGAAGCUUCCAGUUUUGAUCGGGAUGUGUGAUGCAUACCUAAUGGGCUUCCCACCGCCAUCUGGCAAACUGUGCAAGUUCACAGUUCGCACUGCUGCAGCACCACCAGCCAAAUUUAAAGGAAAAGUGGGCUACGGGACAGUUGAAUCUGCAAGAAUGAGUUCUCUUUUAGCUCCAGAAAUUCUUUUCGGUGGGGCAACCGUCUUUAAUAGUUUGCAAGUUUCCGCAGUCUUCAGAGAGGACCUUCUUACCUGCACUGACGAAGGAAAACAUCUUAAUUGACUUGCUUGGAAGUGUUGUUACUGUCAGUCAUUCUUCACCUCAAGAUGGGUCACUACGGUGCUUCCAGUAACGCUGGAGGAAGAAAUGAAGAUGCCAAGGACGCUCACGAUCAUAAUUACUUUCAGGGUAAUUUAUGCUCUUUAUAACGCUUGCAUGAAAUAAUUUUUCCCUUAAGAAAUACUUCCACAUCCUUUUCACGUUAUCCUAUUCCCAGGUCACAACUUAUCUUUGUAUUAUAUUCACUUAUGUAAGUCCAUAAUAUAUCAGUUGUGAUUGUAACUCAAGCAAGCCAACUUGAAUUUGCUUAGACUCCAAGGAGGAGUUGAAAAACUAUUUCAUUGGUUCUAAAAUUUGCCUUACAAUGUUUAAAAAUAUCUCUGAAAUAAGAUGAGUCUAACACUUGAUAGCACAUUAUGGUUUAAUUGCAAGUGUAUUUACAUAAAAUACAUACUAACAAAGUGGUGCAUCUCUUAA
Long non-coding RNA from Suricata suricatta (meerkat), 1373 nucleotides. RefSeq lists it as uncharacterized. The transcript is spliced from 7 exons. NCBI's taxonomy places the organism in Eukaryota, Metazoa, Chordata, Mammalia, Carnivora, Herpestidae. The record is from RefSeq and is a predicted model, not a curated record.